Molecule: ribosomal RNA, 494 nt
Filed under: uncultured bacterium
Lineage: Bacteria
Description: partial 16S ribosomal RNA
Rfam family: Bacterial small subunit ribosomal RNA
Source: RNAcentral
GACGAACGCUGGCGGCGUGCUUAACACAUGCAAGUCGAACGGUGAAGCGCCUUCCUUUUUGGUGGGUGUGGAUGAGUGGCGAACGGGCGAGUAACACGUGAGUAACCUGCCCCCUUCUUCUGGAUAACCGCAUGAAAGUGUGGCUAAUACGGGAUAUUCUGGGUCUGUCGCAUGAUGGGUCUGGGAAAGAUAUUGUUUCGGUGGGGGAUGGGCUCGCGGCCUAUCAGCUUGUUGGUGGGGUGAUGGCCUACCAAGGCGGUGACGGGUAGCCGGCCUGAGAGGGUGGACGGUCACACGGGGACUGGGACACGGCCCAGACUCCUACGGGAGGCAGCAGGGGGGAAUAUUGCACAAUGGGCGCAAGCCUGAUGCAGCGACGCCGCGUGAGGGAUGGAGGCCUUCGGGUUGUGAACCUCUUUCGCCAGUGAAGCAGGCCUGCCUCGUUUGUGGGUGGGUUGACGGUAGCUGGAUAAGAAGCGCCGGCUAACUACGUG